UGUCUCUUUGAUACCCAUCCUGAGACUGGCCUGACAUUGUCAUCAUCUCUGAAUAAGGAUCCUACAAAACAACACUCUUGCAAGCAUAUCUAUGCCACUUGCUUAAUAACCAUAGGAAGCUGCCUUAUAGAAGGUCACAUACUUUGUGCCCACCUAGCCCAAUAUUGUCUAUUCCAACAAGCAGCUGCUUUCCAGAGUCUUAGACAGAUGUUUUUUCCAUCACCUGCUACCUAACAGGAGAUGCCAGGAACUGAGUCUGCAGCAGGUCUCAGAUAAAGCAUGUCCUCUUCUGUUUAAGAACAGACCUCUGUGGCUUAUGAACUCACCCUACCAGCCAGAAAAUGUGGCCAGCUUGGCAACCACCCAUGUUUUGCAACCCCAGGCAGGCAACAAAAGCCAGAUAUUUUAUGAAGCUUCCUUGUGUGCUGUCUUACAUAUACUAUGAAUGCUACAAUACACAGCUGAGCCUGCUUAUUCACAUAGAGCCAAUCUGACUGCUGUUGAGUAAGUGGGUUGUAGACUAUGGACUUAAUGAAUAACUGCAGCAAAGGAAAAUGAAAGGGGAGAAAUUUUCACCUUGAGUCUGCAUCAAUAUUUUCCCAUUUAAUCUGUAUAGCCUGCUAUUUUCAAUUUAGCCUCCCCCCAUUCCAAUCAUAGCCUGACUGUUUAUCUACUUCCCAUUAAUGAAUUAUAAAUAAACUUGAUAAU
This is a long non-coding RNA of Podarcis raffonei (Aeolian wall lizard), 708 nucleotides long. RefSeq lists it as uncharacterized. Lineage: Eukaryota; Metazoa; Chordata; Lepidosauria; Squamata; Lacertidae. The transcript is spliced from 3 exons. The record is from RefSeq and is a predicted model, not a curated record.